This 601-nucleotide ribosomal RNA is filed under the name uncultured bacterium. RNAcentral's name for it is "bacterial SSU rRNA". The stretch from base 1 to 517 matches the Rfam family "Bacterial small subunit ribosomal RNA", at positions 338 to 873 of the family's 1533-position model. The record is from RNAcentral.
CCUACGGGAGGCAGCAGUGGGGAAUCUUGCGCAAUGGGCGAAAGCCUGACGCAGCCAUGCCGCGUGAAUGAUGAAGGUCUUAGGAUUGUAAAAUUCUUUCACCGGGGACGAUAAUGACGGUACCCGGAGAAGAAGCCCCGGCUAACUUCGUGCCAGCAGCCGCGGUAAUACGAAGGGGGCUAGCGUUGCUCGGAAUUACUGGGCGUAAAGGGAGCGUAGGCGGAUAGUUUAGUCAGAGGUGAAAGCCCAGGGCUCAACCUUGGAAUUGCCUUUGAUACUGGCUAUCUUGAGUACGGAAGAGGUAUGUGGAACUCCGAGUGUAGAGGUGAAAUUCGUAGAUAUUCGGAAGAACACCAGUGGCGAAGGCGACAUACUGGUCCGUUACUGACGCUGAGGCUCGAAAGCGUGGGGAGCAAACAGGAUUAGAUACCCUGGUAGUCCACGCUGUAAACGAUGAGUGCUAGUUGUCGGCAUGCAUGCAUGUCGGUGACGCAGCUACGACAUAAGACACUCCGCCGUCGGGAGGUACGGUCGCGAGAAUAAACUACGAAGAAGUAGACGGCGUGAGACGUGCCGAACGGACGACGACGAGGGAGGUAGG